This 2946-nucleotide ribosomal RNA is filed under the name Berberis thunbergii. RNAcentral describes it as "bacterial LSU rRNA". The stretch from base 1268 to 2946 matches the Rfam family "Bacterial large subunit ribosomal RNA". The record is from RNAcentral. Lineage: Eukaryota; Viridiplantae; Streptophyta; Magnoliopsida; Ranunculales; Berberidaceae.
UAUUCAACUAUUAUUUGAUUUACUUAAAUAAAUAAAAAAAUCAAUUAAAUGUAUCGGAGAUCGCAAUGGCAGAUUUCCUAAAAUGUAAAAUUGAGAUAUUCAUAAUGGAAAAUGACUUUUAAGACCUACUUUUUCACAAAAUAGAUAAUUAAGAUACCGUAGUUGAUGUAAUGGUUAAUUUGUGCCUACUUUUAUACUUUUAUGACCAAUAAGGAUUAUUUCAUUAACCCAUUUUAACUGAUAAACUUAUAGGACACAUUUAACCUUCUUAAACAAGAACUCUUUUAUUAAUAAUUCUAAUUUUUAUUUUUUUGUUAUUUUUACUUUUUUUAAACCCUUAACCCCUCCCACCCCAUGAACCAUUAUUAUUAAAUUUUUUUAAUGUUAUCUUGUUCUUUAACUGCAGUUUGAGCAAUUAUUUUAUGACAUUUGUUAGCUACAAAGGGCUACAUUAAUAUUUUUAUUUUAGCAUUUUUUUUAUUCUUGAAUGUUUUGUCACCCUGAAUGUGUUUGAUUUGAGUGGUUGGGAAUAUCUGAGUUUGAAGAGCAAUUUUUAUUGUUUCAAUUAAUGGUUACAUGAAAUUAUCUGAGUUGUGAAUUCUCUGUCACUAUUUAGUUUACAUGAAAUUAUCUUAUUCAAUAUUAGUUUCCAUUUUACCUCUAAGGCUAUGAUCAUGCUCUGUGUUAGAUAGCUUGUGACUAAAUAGUAAUAGAGAAUAAAAUAUAUUACUUUACAGGUAUCCAUGCAUUGAAGAAUAGGAAAUCAAAUUUCGAUAAAAAAUUUAUUUUAUUAACUACAUUAUGGAAUAAGCAAUGAUAAUUAAAACCAAAAUUCUAAUCAUCAUUAAGAAAUGUAAUGCAAGGGUACCUAUACACUUUUCUAAUCAAAUUUAUGACAAGUUAACCAAAUUGAUUUUAUUAAAUAAUUAAAACCAAAUUUCUAAUCUUCAUUAACUACAUUAUGAAAAGUUUACCAAACCUUAGCAUAAUAAUUUGAUUAACUUACCAGUCAAUGAAAACUUAUAAUUGGUUGUUUAUAAUUAGAAUCAUUAAUAUCGAUACCUACGAACAACAUGGGGUGGAAGGGGUCAACGGUAAAAAUAAAUAAAAAUAAAAACUAGAAUUAUUAAUAAAAGAGACAUUGUUGGUCAUAAAAGUAUAAAAUUAGGUUUCUAUUUGUUUAGAAAGGGUAAAGAUGUCUUAUAACUUUAUGAGUUAACUUGAGUUAAUAAAAGAGUCUUUAUUGGUCAUAAAAGUAUAAAAAUCGGAACAAAUUAACCAUUACAUCAACUACAAUAUCUAAAUUGUCUAUUUUGUAAAGAAGUAGGCCUUAGAAAUCAUUUUUCGUAUUCAUAAUACUUAGAAACAUAUUCUUGAGAUCUCAAUUUUUUGAAAUCCAUUUAUUCAUAAUAUUCAUGAUUACUCAGUGAAUGUUGAUGGACAACAGGGGAAUAUUCUUGUACUACCCCUUGUUGGUCCCGAGGGACAAAGGAGGCUAGGCUAGCCAAAAGAUGGUUAUUGGUUCAAGGACGCAAUGUGACCCAUCUUUUUCAAGAUUAAAAAGGGUAGAGAAAAUACCUCGAGUCAAUGUUCGAGUACCAGGCACUAAAGUAACUCAUGCCUUACUCCAAGGAAAAGCUCGAACAACCUUAAACAAAGGGAUACAUGUACCUAAAACCGACACAGGUGGGUGGGUAGAAAGCGAGACAAAUUUCUCUAAGGAACUCAACAAAAUAGCCCCGUAACAUUGGGAGAAGGGGUGCCUCCUCACAAAGGGGGUUGAAAUGACCAGGCUCAGGAGAUUGUUUACAAAAACACGGGUCUCCGAAAAGUUGUAAGGUCGCGUAUGGGGGUUGACGCCUGGUCAGUGCCGGAAGGUCAAGGAAGUUUGUGACCUGAUGACAGGAGAGUCGGCAACCGAAGCCCCAAUGAAUGGCAGUUGUAACUAUAAUUGUCCUAAGGUAGUGAAAUUUCUUGUCGAGUAAGUUCUGACCCUCACGAAAGGCGUAACGAUCUGGGCUUUGUCUCAGAAAGUGACUUAGUGAAAUAGACAUGUCUAUGAAGAUGUGGACUACCUAUACCUAGACAGAAAGACCCUAUGAAGCUUUAUUGUUCCCUGGGAUUGGCUUUGGGCCUUUCGUGCGCAGCUUAAGUGGACGGCGAAGAAGGCUCCCUUCAUCAGUAAGAUACCACUCUAGAAGAACUCGAACUCUAACCUUGUGUCAGGACCUACGGGCCAAGGGACAUUAUCAAGUAGACAUUUUCUAUGGGGCAUAGGCCUCCCAAAAGGUAACGGGGUGUGCAAAGGUUUUCUCAAGCCUUACGGAUACUGACCCUCGAGUGCAAAGGCAGAAAUGAGCUUGACUACAAGACCCACACAUCAAGCAAGGACGAAAGUCGGCCUUAGUGAUUCGAUAGUGUAGAGUGGAAGGGUCACCGCUCAAUGGAUAAAAGUUACUCUAUGGAUAACAGGUUGAUCUUCCUUAAGAGUUCACAUCGAUGGGAAGGUUUGGCACCUCGAUGUAUGUUCUUUGCCACCUAGGGUUGUAGUGUGUUCCAAGGGUUGGGUUGUUCGCUUAUUAAAGCGACAUGUGAGCUAGGUUCUGAACAUCGUGAGACAGUUCGGUCCAUGUUAGAUGUGGGCGUUAAAGCAUUGAAAGGACCUUUCCCUAGUACUAGAGGACCGGGAAGGAUGCACUUCUUGUGUACUAGUUAUCGUGCCCACGCCAAGUGUUGGGUAGCCAAGUGAGAAGCGGAUAAUUGUUGAAAGCAUCUAAGUAGUAAGCCCACCCCAAGAUGAGUGUUAUCCUAUUCCGACUUCCCUAGAGCCUCCGGUAGCAUAGCCAAGACAGUGACGGGUUCUCUAACCUUGCAGGGAUGGAGUGACAGAAGUUUUGAGAAUCCAACAAAAGGUCACGGCGAGACAAACCGUUUAUUAUUAUGAUA